GGCAAGAUGGCCGAGUGGUCUAAGGCGCUGUGUUCAGGCUUGCUUCGGCAAUACCUAAACAAAAAAAAAAUCGCAGUCUCCCUGAGGCGUGGGUUCGAAUCCCACUCUUGUCA
Molecule: non-coding RNA, 113 nt
Organism: Malassezia caprae
Lineage: Eukaryota; Fungi; Basidiomycota; Malasseziomycetes; Malasseziales; Malasseziaceae
Source: the annotation of a GenBank genome assembly